CGCACAUUGCGCCCGCCAGUAUUCUGGCGGGCAUGCCUGUUCGAGCGUCAUUUCAACCCUCAAGCCCUCCCUUCGGGGAGCGGGCUUGGUGUUGGGGACCGGCCCCCCGCGGCCGCCCCCGAAAUGCAGUGGCGACCUCGCCGCAGCCUCCCCUGCGUAGUAGCACAACCUCGCACCGGAGCGCGGAGACGGUCACGCCGUAAAACGCCCAACUUUCUUAGAGUUGACCUCGGAUCAGGUAGGAAUACCCGCUGAACUUAA
This 261-nucleotide unclassified non-coding RNA is filed under the name Tolypocladium sp. RNAcentral describes it as "partial contains 5.8S ribosomal RNA, internal transcribed spacer 2, and large subunit ribosomal RNA". The record is from RNAcentral. Lineage: Eukaryota; Fungi; Ascomycota; Sordariomycetes; Hypocreales; Ophiocordycipitaceae.